CCUGCUCUUGCUUCGGGCUCCGUUUAUACUCCAGACUUCGCCACUGACCAAGAUGCGGCAUCUGCUCCUAUUCUGAGUCCCACGUCCACUAUACCACCUGAAUGGAGUGAAGGGAAAAAUGAUGACACACAUAUAUAUGUACACACACAUGUAUACUGCUAUUUGCCCAGAAGGCCUGAGAAAUCAGUCAACACAGCAGGAACCUGGAAACUGCCUCCCUCAGCCAGCUGCUGACUUUAACAGCAAGGUUGACCAUGAGGAGCCAGGAAGCAUGGGAAGCUGGCAAAGAGCUAGACAGUAGAUGUCUUCUGGGCUCCUGUGGGACAAGGUGACCAAAACGUUGCUCAGAUCUCAGUUUCUGGACUUCCUGUGUGACCUUGGGCAAGUUAUUUAACCUCUCUGGGCCUCCUCAACUGUAAAAUCCAGAAAAUGGACCUAACAGAGUUGCUGAGAAGGUUAAAUAAAUUAUGUGUCAAGAACUUGGAACAGUGCCCGGCACAUAGUAAAUCCUAUGGGUUUUCUAUUACUGUUAUUAAAACGAUCUUGUGUAACUUUUU
Long non-coding RNA from Hyaena hyaena (striped hyena), 557 nucleotides. RefSeq lists it as uncharacterized. NCBI's taxonomy places the organism in Eukaryota, Metazoa, Chordata, Mammalia, Carnivora, Hyaenidae. The record is from RefSeq and is a predicted model, not a curated record. The transcript has 3 exons.